RNAcentral lists this ribosomal RNA (247 nucleotides) under uncultured bacterium. Its description in RNAcentral is "partial 16S ribosomal RNA". It matches the Rfam family "Bacterial small subunit ribosomal RNA", at positions 524 to 768 of the family's 1533-position model. The record is from RNAcentral.
UACGGAGGGGGCUAGCGUUGUUCGGAAUUACUGGGCGUAAAGCGCACGUAGGCGGCUUUGUAAGUUAGAGGUGAAAGCCCAGGGCUUAACCCUGGAAUUGCCUUUAAGACUGCAUCGCUAGAAUCGUGGAGAGGUGAGUGGAAUUCCGAGUGUAGAGGUGAAAUUCGUGAGAUAGUUCGGAAGAACACCAGUGGCGAAGGCGACUCACUGGACACGUAUUGACGCUGAGGUGCGAAAGCGUGGGGAG